Molecule: transfer RNA, 66 nt
Filed under: Candidatus Geddesella stercoravicola
Lineage: Bacteria; Bacillati; Bacillota; Clostridia
Also listed under: 5 other names
Rfam family: tRNA
About the family: Transfer RNA (tRNA) molecules are approximately 80 nucleotides in length. Their secondary structure includes four short double-helical elements and three loops (D, anti-codon, and T loops). Further hydrogen bonds mediate the characteristic L-shaped molecular structure. tRNAs have two regions of fundamental functional importance: the anti-codon, which is responsible for specific mRNA codon recognition, and the 3' end, to which the tRNAs corresponding amino acid is attached (by aminoacyl-tRNA synthetases). tRNAs cope with the degeneracy of the genetic code in two manners: having more than one tRNA (with a specific anti-codon) for a particular amino acid; and 'wobble' base-pairing, i.e. permitting non-standard base-pairing at the 3rd anti-codon position.
Source: RNAcentral
UGGUGUGGCUCAAUGGCAGAGCAGCUGAUUUGUAAUCAGCAGGUUGUUGGUUCGACUCCGAUCACC